RNAcentral lists this unclassified non-coding RNA (380 nucleotides) under soil metagenome. RNAcentral's name for it is "partial contains 5.8S ribosomal RNA, internal transcribed spacer 2, and large subunit ribosomal RNA". The stretch from base 1 to 119 matches the Rfam family "5.8S ribosomal RNA", at positions 35 to 154 of the family's 154-position model. The record is from RNAcentral.
GAUGAAGAACGCAGCGAAAUGCGAUAAGUAAUGUGAAUUGCAGAAUUCAGUGAAUCAUCGAAUCUUGAACGCACCUUGCACCCUUUGGUAUUCCGAAGGGUAUGCCUGUUUGAGUGUCAUUAAAUUCUCAACCAUUGAACUUGUUUCUCUGGCUUGGAUGUGGGGGUUGCGGGCUUCGCAAGAGGUCGGCUCUCCUUAAAUGCAUUAGUGGAAACCGCUUGCAGGAUUCAUUCACUUUUUGGCGUGAUAGUAUCGUCGUCAAAGGUAGUGUCUCCGAGGUAUCUGCUUUCUAAUCGUCCGCAAGGACACUAUAAUGACUUGUUUGACCUCAAAUCAGGUAGGACUACCCGCUGAACUUAAGCAUAUCAAUAAGCGGAGGA